Molecule: microRNA precursor, 75 nt
Filed under: Procavia capensis (Cape rock hyrax)
Lineage: Eukaryota; Metazoa; Chordata; Mammalia; Hyracoidea; Procaviidae
Description: miRNA (ENSPCAG00000019946.1)
Source: RNAcentral
UAUAUACAUACAUACACACAUAUAUACAUGUGUAUAUAUAUGUGUGUGUGUGUGUGUGUAUGUAUACAAGCUUUA